Molecule: transfer-messenger RNA, 371 nt
Filed under: Actinomycetota bacterium
Lineage: Bacteria; Bacillati; Actinomycetota
Rfam family: transfer-messenger RNA
About the family: Bacterial tmRNA, also known as 10Sa RNA or SsrA, is named for its dual tRNA and mRNA-like properties. Its role is to liberate the mRNA from a stalled ribosome.
Source: RNAcentral
GGGGGUGAACGGUCUCGACUUCGGAUGUCGGGGCAGGGGAAGCGGGCCGAGGAAGGCGACGAUGAUCUCGUUAACCACGAAACGUCGCAAUUGAACAAGCGCCGAUACCAAUCAGCGCGAGUUCGCACUUGCCGCCUAGGUAAGUAGCGACUCUGUCAGCCCGGGAGCGCCUCCGGCCCGGGACCUGGCAUCGACAGGAGGCUCACCGCCGGAACCGGCUACGGGGUUCGGCGGGAAAUUCCACAGUAGCUGAGCCUGUCACCGACGUGCCUGUGAGAUCGGUGGGGCCGAGAAACUCAUAACAGGAUGCGCCCGGAGAAGCCCUGGUUCGGUGCCGAAGGACGCGGGUUCGAUUCCCGCCACCUCCACCA